AAUCUUUCAACAACGGAUCUCUUGGUUCUGGCAUCC
Molecule: ribosomal RNA, 36 nt
Filed under: uncultured fungus
Lineage: Eukaryota; Fungi
Description: partial 5.8S ribosomal RNA
Source: RNAcentral